AGAGUUUGAUCCUGGCUCAGGACGAACGCUGGCGGCGUGCCUAAUACAUGCAAGUAGAACGCUGAAGGAGGAGCUUGCUUCUCUGGAUGAGUUGCGAACGGGUGAGUAACGCGUAGGUAACCUGCCUGGUAGUGGGGGAUAACUAUUGGAAACGAUAGCUAAUACCGCAUAACAGUAGAUAUUGCAUGAUAUCUGCUUGAAAGGUGCAAUUGCAUCACUACCAGAUGGACCUGCGUUGUAUUAGCUAGUUGGUGAGGUAACGGCUCACCAAGGCGACGAUACAUAGCCGACCUGAGAGGGUGAUCGGCCACACUGGGACUGAGACACGGCCCAGACUCCUACGGGAGGCAGCAGUAGGGAAUCUUCGGCAAUGGACGGAAGUCUGACCGAGCAACGCCGCGUGAGUGAAGAAGGUUUUCGGAUCGUAAAGCUCUGUUGUAAGAGAAGAACGAGUGUGAGAGUGGAAAGUUCACACUGUGACGGUAUCUUACCAGAAAGGGACGGCUAACUACGUGCCAGCAGCCGCGGUAAUACGUAGGUCCCGAGCGUUGCCCGGAUUUAUUGGGCGUAAAGCGAGCGCAGGCGGUUAGAUAAGUCUGAAGUUAAAGGCUGUGGCUUAACCAUAGUACGCUUUGGAAACUGUUUAACUUGAGUGCAAGAGGGGAGAGUGGAAUUCCAUGUGUAGCGGUGAAAUGCGUAGAUAUAUGGAGGAACACCGGUGGCGAAAGCGGCUCUCUGGCUUGUAACUGACGCUGAUGCUCGAAAGCGUGGGGAGUAAACAGGAUUAGAUACCCUGGUAGUCCACGCCGUAAAC
Molecule: ribosomal RNA, 814 nt
Filed under: uncultured bacterium
Lineage: Bacteria
Description: bacterial SSU rRNA
Rfam family: Bacterial small subunit ribosomal RNA
Source: RNAcentral